Serinus canaria (Common canary) is the source of this 1360-nucleotide long non-coding RNA. RefSeq lists it as uncharacterized. The record is from RefSeq and is a predicted model, not a curated record. NCBI's taxonomy places the organism in Eukaryota, Metazoa, Chordata, Aves, Passeriformes, Fringillidae. The transcript has 3 exons.
CCGCCGGCGGCAGCAGCGCGGAGGCGGCGGGAGGCGGCGGCGGGGCCCCGCUCCAGCAGGGGGCUUUGUCAACCAGAAGCCCACCAGGCCCAGAGAACAACAACCUUGACCAGCAGUGCCCAGAAGGCAGCAAGAAGGGUUUGGGGCAGCCCACAAUACUGUAUGAUUACUCGGAGGAGGAGCUGAUGGCCAGCAUCGAGCGGGAGUACUGCCGCUGAGCCCACCACAGAACGGCAGGCACAGCCUGGAGCCCAGCGAGCAGAGCUGCUGUGACACCACAACUGCAUGGAGAGGGGGCUGCUUGGGGAGCACUGAGGAGAAAGUUCACCUGAUCAGCUCCCAGUGAGAGCAGGAAGAUCCUCACCAGCUGCUGAUUUCUGAUUGGUGCCACUGCAAGAAGAACCAAUUAAUCUUAAGAAUCGAUAUUUAGAAGCUCAUUUCUAAAUGCUAUUUUUAAAUGAACAUGUACUAGAAUUAGUGUCAUACUAGAGGUGUUGAAAUGUGGUGCUUUGAAGGAAUCUAUGAACCUAGUAAAAUCUUGCAGCAAUAUCAUCUGAUCCAGAACUUUAGGGGAUGUUGAAUGAAAUUAAUGUUUCUGCCACCUAAAAUGUGCCAAAUUGCACUUGUGCAAGCCUCAGGUUCAGAUCUGAGUUUGGUACUGUCUCUUUCAAUCUGAUCCCAGUCUGGUCCCCAGUAUGGGAGAUGAGAGGAAAAGGGGAUUGAGCCCACUAUCUAGCACAUAGGCAGUGUAAACCCAGAGUUCAAAUCCCACCACACUGCCAAAUUAGGCUCCUGGGAGCCAUCAGUGAGCACAGGAUUUGUGUGAUCCCUUUGGGGCAGGGUCCCAACAUAGGUGUCCUACCUGGGCAUAGAUCCAUUACAGUGAUGGGAGUGAAAGCAGGAGGCACAUCCCCAUUUCAGUCAUCCUCCUCAAUUUGCAUGCUCUUGUAGAGCAGCUGUUUGGGAUCAGUUUUCAGAAUUGCUGCUCCUGGCCCUUCCCUAAUAUUUCUUGUCCUACAAGAAAAAUCACUGCAUUUUACCAUUAGCUGACUGCAAAGUAAACCAGAAAGUUCUCUCUUCUAAGGAAAUAGUAUUUUCCGUUCUCCCAGACAGGGAAGCCUGGUAUUUUGGGUUUCUGCUUUUAUUAUAUCUGCAUGUUAAUGUAUUAUGAGUAUCUGCUUAUUAUCAGAAGUAGAAAAAUACUUUAUUUCUAUCUUCUGAAGCAUAAAAGGCAUCAGAUGAAAUUUUCACUGCAUGUAAAUGCAAGAAAAAACUGCAGGACACCUCUUAAAAUGCUGUAUUUUAAGUACUUUAUGAUUCCCGGGACCUGUGAAACAAAUAAAUGCAUCUAUACUCUGAA